Molecule: ribosomal RNA, 442 nt
Filed under: uncultured bacterium
Lineage: Bacteria
Description: partial 16S ribosomal RNA
Rfam family: Bacterial small subunit ribosomal RNA
Source: RNAcentral
CCUACGGGAGGCAGCAGUGGGGAAUAUUGGGCAAUGGGCGCAAGCCUGACCCAGCAACGCCGCGUGCAGGAAGAAGGCUUUCGGGUUGUAAACUUCUUUUAAGAGGGAAGAGCAGAAGACGGUACCUCUUGAAUAAGCCACGGCGAACUACGUGCCAGCAGCCGCGGUAAUACGGAGGUGGCAAGCGUUGUCCGGAUUUACUGGGUGUAAAGGGCGUGUAGCCGGGCUGACAAGUCAGAUGUGAAAUUCCGGGGCUCAACCCCGGAACUGCAUUUGAAACUGUUGGUCUUGAGUAUAGGAGAGGCAGGCGGAAUGCCUGGUGUAGCGGUGAAAUGCGUAGAUAUUAGGAGGAACACCAGGGGCGAAGGCGGCCUGCUGGACGACAACUGACGGUGAGGCGCGAAAGCGUGGGGAGCAAACAGGAUUAGAAACCCCUGUAGUC